This 468-nucleotide ribosomal RNA is filed under the name uncultured bacterium. RNAcentral describes it as "bacterial SSU rRNA". It matches the Rfam family "Bacterial small subunit ribosomal RNA", at positions 10 to 523 of the family's 1533-position model. The record is from RNAcentral.
AGUUUGAUCCUGGCUCAGAACGAACGCUGGCGGCAUGCCUAACACAUGCAAGUCGAACGAAGGCUUCGGCCUUAGUGGCGCACGGGUGCGUAACGCGUGGGAAUCUGCCCUUGGGUUCGGAAUAACAGCGGGAAACUGCUGCUAAUACCGGAUGAUGUCGAUAAGACCAAAGAUUUAUCGCCUGAGGAUGAGCCCGCGUUGGAUUAGGUAGUUGGUGGGGUAAAGGCCUACCAAGCCGACGAUCCAUAGCUGGUCUGAGAGGAUGAUCAGCCACACUGGGACUGAGACACGGCCCAGACUCCUACGGGAGGCAGCAGUGGGGAAUAUUGGACAAUGGGCGAAAGCCUGAUCCAGCAAUGCCGCGUGAGUGAUGAAGGCCUUAGGGUUGUAAAGCUCUUUUACCCGGGAUGAUAAUGACAGUACCGGGAGAAUAAGCCCCGGCUAACUCCGUGCCAGCAGCCGCGGUAA